This 484-nucleotide ribosomal RNA is filed under the name uncultured bacterium. Its description in RNAcentral is "partial 16S ribosomal RNA". It matches the Rfam family "Bacterial small subunit ribosomal RNA", at positions 28 to 523 of the family's 1533-position model. The record is from RNAcentral.
GACGAACGCUGGCGGCGUGCUUAACACAUGCAAGUCGAACGAUGAAGCCGGAGCUUGCUCUGGUGAAUUAGUGGCGAACGGGUGAGUAACACGUGAGUAACCUGCCCUUGACUCUGGGAUAACUGCUAGAAAUGGUAGCUAAUACCGGAUACGACCCUCGGAGGCAUCUCCAGGGGGUGGAAAGAAUUUCGGUCAAGGAUGGACUCGCGGCCUAUCAGCUAGUUGGUGAGGUAAUGGCUCACCAAGGCUACGACGGGUAGCCGGCCUGAGAGGGUGACCGGCCACACGGGGACUGGGACACGGCCCAGACUCCUACGGGAGGCAGCAGUGGGGAAUAUUGCACAAUGGGCGCAAGCCUGAUGCAGCAACGCCGCGUGAGGGAUGACGGCCUUCGGGUUGUAAACCUCUUUUAGUAGGGAAGAAGCGAAAGUGACGGUACCUGCAGAAAAAGCACCGGCUAACUACGUGCCAGCCGCCGCCGUAA